This 466-nucleotide long non-coding RNA is filed under the name Oncorhynchus kisutch (coho salmon). RNAcentral's name for it is "lncRNA (ENSOKIG00005000221.1)". Lineage: Eukaryota; Metazoa; Chordata; Actinopteri; Salmoniformes; Salmonidae. The record is from RNAcentral.
AUCUGACUGAAAGGUGAUGUCAUGUAAGGUGAGGUAACUUGAGGUUCUCUGAAGUAGGAGGUCUAGUGAGAGGACUGGAGGAUAGAGUGACAAUUGCAGACUAUGUAAAGUAUGUAGAGGGGUUUUAAACCUCACCAUUGAGUUUACACACACGCACACACAGGCACGCACACACACACACAACAGUGCAUUUGCCUUUCUCAGAAUGUGAUUCAGACAUUGAUUGAUCAAUCGAUUGAUUCUUUUCACAGAAUUUCCACAUGUUGACCAAAGACCUAAGUUCCAGUAGCCAACAUAAGUUCAGACUCAGAGGGCCACUUUGAAACCCCAGAGGCUCAGAGCCCUGUCCAUGCUCCACUCCAAGUCCCAGAAGAGCUGGAGACCUUCACCACUGACAGAGCAGAUGCCCUGGAGGAGGAGGAUGAACAGCUGAUAGUGUCUGGCCCAGCCAGAGAUCCAGCUCCUA